Caenorhabditis japonica is the source of this 137-nucleotide non-coding RNA. The record is from Rfam. NCBI's taxonomy places the organism in Eukaryota, Metazoa, Nematoda, Chromadorea, Rhabditida, Rhabditidae.
ACCGCCUCUAUACCAAACACUUGCAAGUGACCCCUUGCUGCAAGUGCAUGGAAGAGCGCGAAAAGAAUGGAAGCGUCCGAUGUCCACCCCUUCAAUUCUACUUAUGGGUUGCGGGCACUUUACCUCGGUUGACACUA